AUACGUAGGGGGCAAGCGUUGUCCGGAAUUAUUGGGCGUAAAGGGCUCGCAGGCGGCUUCUUAAGUCUGAUGUGAAAUAUUGCGGCUCAACCGCAAGAGGUCAUUGGAAACUGGGAGGCUUGAGUAUAGGAGAGGAAAGUGGAAUUCCACGUGUAGCGGUGAAAUGCGUAGAGAUGUGGAGGAACACCAGUGGCGAAGGCGACUCUCUGGCCUAUAACUGACGCUGAGGAGCGAAAGCGUGGGUAGCAAACAGGAUUAGAUACCCUGGUAGUCCACGCCGUAAACGAUGAGUGCUAGGUGUUAGGGGUUUCGAUACCCUUAGUGCCGCAGUUAACACAUUAAGCACUCCGCCUGGGGAGUACGGCCGCAAGGCUGAA
RNAcentral lists this ribosomal RNA (377 nucleotides) under uncultured bacterium. RNAcentral describes it as "bacterial SSU rRNA". It matches the Rfam family "Bacterial small subunit ribosomal RNA", at positions 523 to 898 of the family's 1533-position model. The record is from RNAcentral.